RNAcentral lists this long non-coding RNA (1150 nucleotides) under Cucumis sativus (cucumber). Its description in RNAcentral is "long non-coding RNA (CSAT_LNC002124)". The record is from RNAcentral. Lineage: Eukaryota; Viridiplantae; Streptophyta; Magnoliopsida; Cucurbitales; Cucurbitaceae.
AAUUUUUUACAUUUCGUCUAGUUUGAUAUAUUUUUUCCCUUUCUUCCUUCUUUUCUUCACAACUUUUUUUAUUCUUCAUUCUUCAAGUUUCUCUUAAGAGCCGAGAGUGUAGAGCAGCAGGGAGAACUUGGAGCAUGGAGUGGGAAGUUGGAGUCCGAGUGUGGAGCAAAACAGACAUUUUCACAAGUUCUCCGAUCAAAGUUGAAGCAAAGCAGGACCAUAAAUUUGGGAGCUAGAGCAUGGAGCAUUAUCGAGAAGCAAAAGCUAAGAAAUGCCCUUUUCACAUGCUUUGAGUUCAUAUCGGUACUUUUGGCUGCCACUUUUCAUUCAAUUUUAUAAAGGAACCCAUUUUUCAUUAAAACCCCUAAACAGGGUCAUUUAUCUGCCGAACCCAAUCAAACCAUGACCAUGGAAAAUUAUCAUAUAUACUCAGUUUCAAAAUAGAAAUGUGUUAUAAUAUUUUUAGUAUAGUGAUAAGUAAUAUGACGAGAUACAUGAGAAGAUCAUUUAUAAAUAGUUUUAUUUAUGUAUUCGUGCAAUUUAUAUAAAUGACCAAUGUUCAAUUAGCAUGAAAAAAAAUAGAGAAUAUAGAAAGGGCAAUUAUUUGAAAUAGCAGCUAAAAAUAUUUACUAGCAAUAUUUACAAAUAUAGCAUCAUUUUUAAAUUAAUGAAGCCAUAUUCAUUUAGUUGCAACUAUUCAGUUUUAAUUGUAAUAUAAAAUAUAUAUUCAGUUUUAAAUAGCAAAAAAUUGUGAUUUCCAUUUUACUUUUGAACGAUGUCUUUCGCAAACAAUUCCAACGAGAAUAUUAUUUCUAUUAAUUGACAUAUAAAUAAACCUAUUGUCAAUAUCAAACAAUUCCUGGAACAAAAUAGAUAAAAUAAAUAUGAGCAAGAAUAUCAACUAUUACAACACGGGGAAAAAGAGUUAAAAAGCGAGAGAACUCCUUCCCAAGGGCAAAAGAAAAAACACAAUAUUCGUACAAAACUGAGAGAAUGAGCAAAUUCUAAACAUCAUUUAAAACAGUGGCAGGCAAUCAUAAUUUACACCGAGGAGGAUGGUAUCUUGUACUGUUUCUUGAGAAAUUGGGAGGCUUCAGAAUCACUCCUGUGACACAGUAUUCUCAACAAAGUUUUUGAAUCUGCUCCUGCU